This 108-nucleotide non-coding RNA is filed under the name Clostridium felsineum. Its description in RNAcentral is "Clostridium roseum TPP sequence". It matches the Rfam family "TPP riboswitch aptamer (THI element)". From Rfam's summary of the family: Vitamin B(1) in its active form thiamin pyrophosphate (TPP) is an essential coenzyme that is synthesised by coupling of pyrimidine and thiazole moieties in bacteria. The previously detected thiamin-regulatory element, thi box was extended, resulting in a new, highly conserved RNA secondary structure, the THI element, which is widely distributed in eubacteria and also occurs in some archaea. Analysis of operon structures identified a large number of new candidate thiamin-regulated genes, mostly transporters, in various prokaryotic organisms. Lineage: Bacteria; Bacillati; Bacillota; Clostridia; Eubacteriales; Clostridiaceae. The record is from RNAcentral.
AUAUUGUUACUGGGGAGCCUGUAGACAGGCUGAGAGUGGAAUGUGAUUCCAGACCCUCAUAACCUGAUUUGGAUAAUGCCAACGUAGGGAGAUAAUAUCAUCAGAUCU